This is a non-coding RNA of Chelonoidis abingdonii (Abingdon island giant tortoise), 868 nucleotides long. The record is from RefSeq and is a predicted model, not a curated record. Lineage: Eukaryota; Metazoa; Chordata; Testudines; Testudinidae.
GAUGCCUGAUCUGCCCUCUCCCAGCCACAUAAGGCACAUGGGACUAGUGGUUAGAGCAGGGUCCCAAGAGCCAGGACUGCUGGGUUCCAUUUCUGGCUCCAUCACUGACUCCCUGCGAGACCUUGGACCUGAUUGUCCCAGUCCCUAUCAUGGGUUUAAAUCAGGUUGAUGCGAUAUAUUGUACCCUACAGCUGAAAGGUGCCACGGGAGAGCAAGGAGCUGAAUAACUCAGGUUGUGAGCUCCUUGGGGCAGGGGCUUUGUUGUAUGUUUGUGCAGCCCUAGCACAGUGGGAGCUUGGGCCAUGUCUGGGGCUCCUAGGCACUACCAUAAUACACCUAAUAGAUAAUGUACAGGCCUAGCACUGUGGGUCCUAAGCGCUACCAGAAUAGAAAUCCUAAACACGCAGAGCUGGCACCCCCAUGCUGGCACCCCUGCACUUGAGCCUGUGUCUGACUCUAGCCACCUGCAAUGCUAGUGCUAUAUUCUGGCCCCCUGAAGAACCGGGCAGUGUCCUUUCUGGAUUAGGUCCUGAGCAGGGUCCUUCCUCCCCCAUCCGCUUGGGGGGGUGAUCAGCAGGGCUAGGCAAGUAAGGGGAGUUUCUGGUUUCCUGGUAAUUCUGAAAAGCAGGAAAAAUAUUCAUUUCAGAUGGAACAAAACAAUUUGAUUUGAUCUUGUCUGUUUCUCAACACUUUUUUUAUUAUUUAAUGAAAGGAAAGCUGGAAAUGGCACCUCCCUUUGAACCAAAAAAAUCAAAACAUUUUGUUUUGAAAAGAUGGAAAUGAAAUGGGAUCAUUUUUCCCAACCAAACAAUUUGGUGUGAAUUUGUGAAACUUUUUUUCAGUGUAGUUGAAUCUGCAUUUUUCACUG